This 74-nucleotide transfer RNA is filed under the name Planctomycetaceae bacterium. Its description in RNAcentral is "tRNA-Ile". It matches the Rfam family "tRNA". Rfam says of the family: Transfer RNA (tRNA) molecules are approximately 80 nucleotides in length. Lineage: Bacteria; Pseudomonadati; Planctomycetota; Planctomycetia; Planctomycetales; Planctomycetaceae. The record is from RNAcentral.
GGGGCCGUAGCUCAGUCGGUUAGAGCAGGCGACUCAUAAUCGCUUGGUCGCGGGUUCGAAUCCUGCCGGCCCUA